RNAcentral lists this long non-coding RNA (1573 nucleotides) under Linum usitatissimum (flax). RNAcentral describes it as "long non-coding RNA (LUSI_LNC007260)". The record is from RNAcentral. Lineage: Eukaryota; Viridiplantae; Streptophyta; Magnoliopsida; Malpighiales; Linaceae.
CCUUGUCUUGCCUUAAACCCCCUAACAGGCCUAUUCAUGUUUCCCAAAAUAAAACCCUCGAAAGUCGAAACAGAGCCCAGUGCUACACAAAAAUCCGCCUGCCGCCAUGUCCGCCACCGCAGCUGCCAGGUCAGUCCUCCGUUUCGCCGCCGUCAGGCCGGCAGCUUCUCGGCGAUUAGCCUCCGAAGCCAGGCCGGCCUCCUUCACUUUCCGCACGACUAGAAGAUCCCCGCCUACCCUUCGUCUUUCCAGGUAGUUCUUCUUCCCCCAUCUGAGAGAACAUCACUUUGUCAAUUUCAGAUUAUGAGAUGUGAUGGGAUUUUUCCGAUCAGGUCGAUGAGCUCGGUGUCAUUGCUCCCGUAUCACAGCGCGACUGCCUCUUCGUUGAUCAACUCGAAGCUCUCAGUCUCCGGCUGCGCUUAUGUGUGGACUCUCGAAGGUAAAAGCUUCACCCCAGUUACAUGAUAAUGUUAUUUUCUGUUUGGUUGACUGAUUGAUCUAAAAGAUUACCUCUUUGGAGCUCAAUUAUAGCCUAGGUGUCCACAUUGUUCAGAUUUUGGAGCUCUUUUGACAGUGUGCUUUAGAACCCAGAUUCCUGUUUUCAAUGGCAUCCCAAUGAGGGAAAGAUCGAUUCUUUUCGGUUGUUUGGAUGAUGGCUUUACAAUUCACUGUUCAUGGAAUGUAUUACUUGAUAAAACAUUUGAAUGUUGUUUCUGAAUUGAAAACUAGGGUAUGAGAUUCAGGGAACUAUAGAAGUUUUGGUUGACAAGUUUGAUCUGCAGUCUACUGUGAUUUUGACUUGUUUGCUCUGGUUCUGCUGUGCUUGACUGAAUCAUAAACCCACAUCACUAAGUCGAUUGCUUCAUGUUCUUUGUAUCGCAUUGAUAGCAAGUCUACAGUUUCAUGGCUUUUCGUGCUGUUUUGCAGAUGGAUAAUAGGUGAUCAAUCAAGGGCGAAGCGAUGUUGUCAUUUCGGCGUACAAGUCCAGGUUGUUUUAGGUUCAAGACAAUUGCAGUCAUUCAGACUGUAUACAAUUUCGAUGUCCCUCUGUUCAUAGAGAUAGUUUCAUCUAGCUUUGAUCACAAUUUCAUACUUGUGGCAACUUCAAGCUUUGCUUCUAUUGAUGAUUGUAGUAAUUCUCCAACUUUAACUAACUAGGUUCAAUUUCUUGAUCAUACGAAUCUUUUGUUAUGGCGCAUUCGCGACGUAUGCCAUAGAAAGGCAUAGAAAGAUCCAAUUAGGCCAUUCCGAUGGGGAAUUAUAGGUCAUACUUGGGUGAACAGAUAGUAUCACCAAAAUAAACCGAGCAUUCUACUAUCAACAGUUUAACACAAAUAUUUAAGGCAAUGGCUUGUCAUGAUAAAGACCAAAGCACUUCUUCACAUACGUCCUAGCAAAAUGGUUACAGCUAGUUAAACUACCAGAAAGAUCAAACCGAUUUGUGGAAAUGUGUGAUUACCAAACUUCUCCCCAUAUACUAUAACCCAAUAAGGAAAACCAGAAACUUCGAUCAGGCCUAUCCGAGCUUAUAUAUACUUCUUAACCCAACCCUAGCGGCGAAAUGUUCCUCUAA